UGUGGGAGCGGGCUUGCUCGCGAAAACGCUGGUUCAGUCGACAUCAAUGUUGAAUGAAAGAUCGAUUUCGCGAGCAAGCCCGCUCCCACA
RNAcentral lists this unclassified non-coding RNA (90 nucleotides) under Pseudomonas migulae. The record is from RNAcentral. Lineage: Bacteria; Pseudomonadati; Pseudomonadota; Gammaproteobacteria; Pseudomonadales; Pseudomonadaceae.